GCCACCUGCACGGCCACCUGCACGGCCACCUGCACGGCCGCCCUCCCGCUCGCUCCGGGCAGCCUCUGUCCCUAGGGGGUCGGGGCGGCCGAGGAGGUAAUCGGGCCAGACCCUGGGAGACAGGAGUGCCGAGUGCCCUGAAUCCCGACUCUGACAACCACAGAACAGGUUGGCGUGGGCAGGACAACCCGGAGGGGCCUGACGCGACCGCAGGGGCCCAGCGCAAGGGGAAUAGUUUCAAGCGGCCCCGAAGCUUAAUGCGGAGCAACCUCGGGAGGAGGUUUCUAAUGCGAUUUCCGACUCCGGGAGUCGCGUGUCCAAAGUAAGGGAGGAAAUGCUCCUGUGCUGUGCGGCUCCCAUCUCGGCCUGGCAUCCUGUCUAGUUCCCAACACGCUGGAUUUUUUGGAGGGUGGUGAUCGGGAGGUCAAGGGCCUAGAGAUGCUCCAGAAGCACAGUAGAAGGACCUUGGGAAAAGAUAAACCAGAGCCACGACAGCUUUCUUCAAAUAUUUGUCCCGUAAAAGAUGGAGCUAACGUCCAUCAGCUCUCAAGUACAAAUUAGGACCAAUAAACAGAAGCCAAGAAACAGUGGAUUUCAGCUUAAGAGAGGGUGGCUUUAUUUUCAAGCCACCUAAAUAAUAGUGGCUCCUCGUCACCCAGGCCCGCAGGGAUACAGGGGGGGUCACCUGCCUGGGGGGACGGACCACACGACCCAUGGUCCUUUCCCUGUCUGCCUCUUGGGUGCGCGCAAAACCUUCCCAGACGAAAUCGUGCCGUCAACGGAAGGUGUUUCUGGACCUCCAGAGGGUGAACCUCAAGAACUCAACGGCCCAACAUGCUUACAGCGAACCGCCUCGCACACGGCCCGGACUCAAGCAUCAGAGGCAAAGCGGGGCCCACCAGGCUCCUGAGUGAUAGAGCUCUCCCCUCUGGGCAAAUAGAAUUUAUCCCAGGACGCAUGUGUCUAAGUCCAUAAAGUGACAAACCUGUUACUGGGUUCGUCCAGAAGGGGUCCCGGAAAUAAGACGUGGCCUAGGAAAGACUCCGAAACAGACGCAGGACGAGUGAGUGAAACCUCUGUGACUCUUCUUCCUCGUGACAUAAACGAGUUCCAACUUUAGACAGACAUUCACUGGGCAGAUUUGAGCAAGGAGUGGAAAGUAUACUGGACUGGAAGCCAAAAGGGUUGGGUUUUCGCCCCGUCUCUGUCGGUCAGGAGACCUUGGCCCAAGCAGGUGUGCUUCCCGGGCGCCUGCCCCACCAGCUGCCGGCCCGGUGAUCCCUGAGGCCUCUUAUCUCUGAGCCCAAGAUGCACAGUUGAUAACUUUGUACAUGUGAAAUCCUGGAUGAAGACACUUAAUGUUCACAUUGAGUCCGCAUGUCCUUGGACAAGUCAUUUCACCUAAAGCGUAGGCAACCCCGGUUUCCCUUGGAAUGAAACGUGUUCAACUUCCAUUGCACACGCGGCCCUGUUCCGUGGUGCUCAGCGGGAGCCAGCAGAGGUCCACUAGUCGGGGCUUCGGAAAAGACUAGAGAUUUCCUCGUAAAAACUUACCGGUCACAUGCUUUGGGCCCUUCCCCCUCUUCCGGCCUGAAAUGUGGUCGUGACCCCUGGACGUGCAAAAGCAUCCUCAUGAGCUCAGGCAGGCCAGCAUGGAAGACUGGGUUUGGGUUUUUUUUUUUUUUUGGUUGUUUUUAAGAUUUAAUUUGUAAGUAAUCUCUGUGCUCACCGCGAGGCUCCAACUUACAACCCAGCCAAGAUCAAGAGUCGCACACUCUACCCACUGAGCCCCAAAAGACUGGGUCCUUGGCGACGCUCUUGAGCGGCUCCCUCAGCGCAGGGCUGCUUCUACGUCUCAUUCCUGGAAACCAUACACCCCUACUUGUAGACACGCGCCCCUUACAUGCAGCCUAAUGCAGUCCUGACUCGUCAAAUACUCGUAAGCAACUGCUUCCCGGUAAAUCCCCGUUAUUUACACCAAACUGUGAAUUUUGCCCCAUGGCCUCCAGAGCAUCCUACGUCCUGAGAGGUGGUGGCCUAUGUAACCACCGCAGCUCACUGGCACCGUAGAGGACCCUCCUCUGGUAUCUUCCUCUCUGCUUCUUUCUCGCAAACGCGUGGCUUAGUGUCGGAAUCAUCAUCAACGCCCCCAACAACGGCAAGACCAACAGGCGGGGAGCAUCAGCCCCACUCCUUAAGCAACUUGGGAUUGACGGACUGACUUCCAGCAGCGCUGCUUGAUGUAGACACAUUUUCCCGGGCGACGGGCACGAGGGAGGGCACAUGACGACAUAUAACACUGGGUGUUACUCUAUGUGUUGGCAAAUUGAGUCCAAAAUUUUAAAAGUUUAUUAAUAAAAAAAAUUUAAAAAUAAAAUCUUUCAAUAUUGUUGAACAUGAAAAAAAAAAAGAGAAAACAGAGCAUUAAUUCAAAGUUUCUU
This is a long non-coding RNA of Canis lupus familiaris (dog), 2441 nucleotides long. RefSeq lists it as uncharacterized. The transcript has 2 exons. The record is from RefSeq and is a predicted model, not a curated record. NCBI's taxonomy places the organism in Eukaryota, Metazoa, Chordata, Mammalia, Carnivora, Canidae.